Molecule: ribosomal RNA, 440 nt
Filed under: uncultured bacterium
Lineage: Bacteria
Description: partial 16S ribosomal RNA
Rfam family: Bacterial small subunit ribosomal RNA
Source: RNAcentral
CCUACGGGUGGCAGCAGUGGUGAAUAUUGCACAAUGGGCGAAAGCCUGAUGCAGCGACGCCGCGUGAGUGAAGAAGUAUUUCGGGUUGUAAAGCUCUUUCAGCAGGGAAGAAAAUGACGGUGCUUGACUAAGAAGCCGCGGCUAACUACGUGCAAGCAGCCGCCGUAAUACGUAGUGGGCAAGAGUCAUCCGGAGUUACUGGGUGUAGAGGGGGCGUUGACGGCGAAGCAAGUCAGAAGUGAAAACCAAGGGCUCAACCCGUGGUCUGCGUUGGAAACUGUUUUGCUUGAGUGUUGGAGGGGCAAGCGGAAUUCCUAGUGUAGCGGUGAAAUGCGUAGAUAUUAGGAGGAACACCAGUGGCGAAGGCGGUCUGCUGGACGGCAACUGACGCUGAGGCGCGAAAGCGUGGGGAGCAAACAGGAUUAGAUACCCCAGUAGUC